CCCCUCUCAGGGUCACACCUGGAGAGUUUCCAGUACUCUACCAGACUCGGCUAUGGGAGGGAGAAUCAAGCAGAGGCCUACCAAUUCCAUUCCUAGCUUGGUCAGUGGCUAGCGAGCGUAAGGCAUCUGCUACAAGU
Molecule: small nucleolar RNA, 137 nt
Filed under: Ornithorhynchus anatinus (platypus)
Lineage: Eukaryota; Metazoa; Chordata; Mammalia; Monotremata; Ornithorhynchidae
Source: RNAcentral